This 639-nucleotide unclassified non-coding RNA is filed under the name Hevea brasiliensis (rubber tree). Lineage: Eukaryota; Viridiplantae; Streptophyta; Magnoliopsida; Malpighiales; Euphorbiaceae. The record is from RNAcentral.
GUACAAGCAGGCGUGAACACACAGAAACAGGAAACCAAUGGAGAGCAACGGUCAAGAGGAGAGGACGAAAACAGCAAGCAAGGACCAAGUAAUUGCGAAACUCAAGGACGACGGCGACUUCGAUAAUCUUCGUCUCAAGAUAAUCCGCAAGCUUAAGGACAAUGAAGAAUUACGCAAUAGCAUUAUUUCCAUUGUGAGGCAGUCAGCAGCUCUUAACCGUGCAGGGGCUGAAAACAUGAAACCCAGGCAACUUUCGGAUGCCAUAUAUAAUGAGGUUGGGAAUGAAAUGAUGAGUAAGCUUUCUGAUGGCGUGUGGGAAAUAAUUAGAUCAGGUGAUGGCAUGAAAAAUGAAAUAACAGAGACUGUACAGUCUGUCUAUAAUAAGUUGGUGGAGCCUAAAAGGAACGAGGUGGGUGAAUCUUCUACUCAUGGAGUGGCGCUGGUUCAGAAUGAAGCUGACAAUAAGGUCCUUGUCAAGGACUCAACUGUUGCAGUGGAUGAUAACUUGUCUGAUGGUGAACUCCAAGAACCACCAGGAUUCUCUCUGUCCAUUAAUCAUCAGAACAACCAUGAACUCAAAGAGGAGUUGGAGCUGCCUAUGCAUUGCCAAGGGACUGUGGAAGAACGGAAGGAAGGGGU